GCCUGGCUGAGUCGGUAGAGCAUGAGACUCUUGAUCUCAGGGUCAUGAGUUCAAGCCCCACGUUAGGCA
Molecule: transfer RNA, 69 nt
Filed under: Felis catus (domestic cat)
Lineage: Eukaryota; Metazoa; Chordata; Mammalia; Carnivora; Felidae
Also listed under: 5 other names
Rfam family: tRNA
About the family: Transfer RNA (tRNA) molecules are approximately 80 nucleotides in length. Their secondary structure includes four short double-helical elements and three loops (D, anti-codon, and T loops).
Source: Rfam by way of RNAcentral